This is a long non-coding RNA of Lates calcarifer (barramundi perch), 139 nucleotides long. RefSeq lists it as uncharacterized. NCBI's taxonomy places the organism in Eukaryota, Metazoa, Chordata, Actinopteri, Centropomidae. The record is from RefSeq and is a predicted model, not a curated record. The transcript is spliced from 3 exons.
GUCCGAGACGGAGCAUCAUGGCGAUUGACGGAGGGGGCAGAAACUGUGGUGUUCAUGAACUCAUCUGUGCCAGACGAGCAACAAGCUGUCAGUGGGGAGUCCUGACGAUCUGUCACAGCUCAGUGGUUAUAAGGACACC